This is a long non-coding RNA of Vitis riparia (riverbank grape), 188 nucleotides long. RefSeq lists it as uncharacterized. The record is from RefSeq and is a predicted model, not a curated record. The transcript has 3 exons. Lineage: Eukaryota; Viridiplantae; Streptophyta; Magnoliopsida; Vitales; Vitaceae.
UGUCCCGUUCCCGCUUAACAAACCAAGCUUUUUCUUCCUUCAACUCAAUCCUGAGCUCAGAUCCCAUCACUCACCGCUAUGGCAGAGGGUACGAUUAUGGUGCUGAAGGUUGAUCUAGGGUGUGAACGCUGUUGCAAGAAGAUCAAGAAACUGAUCUGUAAAAUUCCUGCUUGUUUAGGCAGAAAACC